ACGGGAAGAGCCCAAACCAACAAGCUUGCUUGUUGGGGUUGUAGGACACUCUAUACGGAGUUACAAAGGACGACAUUAGACGAAUCAUCUGGAAAGAUGAAUCAAAGAAGGUAAUAAUCCUGUAGUCGAAAAUGUUGUCUCUCUUGAGUGGAUCCUGAGUACGACGGAGCACGUGAAAUUCCGUCGGAAUCUGGGAGGACCAUCUCCUAAGGCUAAAUACUCUCUAGUGACCGAUAGUGAACCAGUACCGUGAGGGAAAGGUGAAAAGCACCCCGGAAGGGGAGUGAAAUAGAACCUGAAACCGUGUGCUUACAAGUAGUCAGAGCCCGUUAAUGGGUGAUGGCGUGCCUUUUGUAGAAUGAACCGGCGAGUUACGAUUUGAUGCAAGGUUAAGCAGU
Molecule: ribosomal RNA, 398 nt
Filed under: Staphylococcus aureus
Lineage: Bacteria; Bacillati; Bacillota; Bacilli; Caryophanales; Staphylococcaceae
Description: partial 23S ribosomal RNA
Rfam family: Bacterial large subunit ribosomal RNA
Source: RNAcentral